Molecule: ribosomal RNA, 307 nt
Filed under: uncultured eukaryote
Lineage: Eukaryota
Description: partial 18S ribosomal RNA
Rfam family: Eukaryotic small subunit ribosomal RNA
Source: RNAcentral
CAAUAGUGUAUAUUAAAGUUGUUGCAGUUAAAAAGCUCGUAGUUGGAUUUCAAGAAACGCAUCUGGGAAACCAGUUUGCUUUCUACCAGUCUUUGACUGUUACUGUGAGAAAAUUAGAGUGUUUCAAGCAGGCAAUUGCAGGAAUACAUUAGCAUGGAAUAACGAAUGUGUCUACAAUUUGGUUGAUUGUAGAUUACGAUUAAUAGGGACAGUUGGGGGCAUUAGUAUUUAAUUGUCAGAGGUGAAAUUCUUGGAUUAGUUAAAGACUAACGUAUGCGAAAGCAUUUGCCAAGGAUGUUUUCAUUAA